GAUGAAGAACGUAGCGAAAUGCGAUAAGUAAUGUGAAUUGCAGAAUUCAGUGAAUCAUCGAAUCUUUGAACGCACAUUGCGCCCGGCAGUACUCUGCCGGGCAUGCCUGUUCGAGCGUCAUUUCAACCCUCAAGCCCUGCUUGGUGUUGGGGUCCCACGGCCGCCGUGGGCCCUGAAAGGAAGUGGCGGGCUCGCUACAACUCCGAGCGUAGUAAUUCAUUAUCUCGCUUAGGGCGUUGGGCGGCGCUCCUGCCGUUAAAGAACCAUCUUUAACUCAAGGUUGACCUCGGAUCAGGUAGGAAUACCCACUGAACUUAAGCAUAUCAAUAAGCGGAGGA
Molecule: unclassified non-coding RNA, 338 nt
Filed under: soil metagenome
Description: partial contains 5.8S ribosomal RNA, internal transcribed spacer 2, and large subunit ribosomal RNA
Rfam family: 5.8S ribosomal RNA (bases 1-120)
Source: RNAcentral